Long non-coding RNA from Salvia miltiorrhiza (redroot sage), 172 nucleotides. RefSeq lists it as uncharacterized. The transcript has 3 exons. The record is from RefSeq and is a predicted model, not a curated record. Lineage: Eukaryota; Viridiplantae; Streptophyta; Magnoliopsida; Lamiales; Lamiaceae.
UAAUUGUUGGCACACUCGGUUGUGUUUAUGCGCCUCAGAUCAGCAAGGCUUUAACUGGUACUGACAAAAAGGAUCUCAUGAAAAAACUGCCCAAAUUUAUCUAUGAUGAAGAAAAGGCCUUGGAGAAGCAACGCAAGAAACUGGCUGAGAAGAUUGCACAACUGAAUGAUGC